This 407-nucleotide ribosomal RNA is filed under the name uncultured bacterium. RNAcentral's name for it is "partial 16S ribosomal RNA". It matches the Rfam family "Bacterial small subunit ribosomal RNA", at positions 28 to 526 of the family's 1533-position model. The record is from RNAcentral.
GACGAACGCUGGCGGCGUGCCUAAUACAUGCAAGUAGGACGCAGUUGCGAACGGGUGAGUAACGCGUAGGUAACUACCUAUUAGAGGGGGAUAACUAUUGGAAACGAUAGCUAAUACCGCAUACUAGUAGAUGGACCUGCGUUGUAUUAGCUAGUAGGUAGGGUAAUGGGCUACCUAGGCAACGAUACAUAGCCGACCUGAGGGGGUGAUCGGCCACACUGGGACUGGGGCACGGCCCAGACCCCUGCGGGAGGCAGCAGUAGGGAAUCUUCGGCAAUGGGGGGAACCCUGACCGAGCAACGCCGGGUGAGUGAAAGAGGUUUUCGGAGCGUAAAGCUCUGUUGUUCGGGAAGCGGUACUUGACCAGAAAGGGACGGCUAACUACGUGCCAGCAGCCGCGGUAAUUC